This 384-nucleotide ribosomal RNA is filed under the name uncultured eukaryote. RNAcentral describes it as "partial 18S ribosomal RNA". It matches the Rfam family "Eukaryotic small subunit ribosomal RNA", at positions 592 to 976 of the family's 1831-position model. The record is from RNAcentral.
CACAAGCGUAUGCAAAAGUUGCUGCGUUUAAAAAGCUCGUAGUUGGAUCUGUUGAUGAUGUUGCGUCUAACCGCCAGGUUCGUUUCGAGAGUGCGGGUGACAUCAUCUUCUUCCCGUUGAGGGUGUUUGCACUUAAUUGUGUUGAAUACUCGAGACGGAUACUUAAUUUGAAUAAAUUAGAGUGUUCAAAGCGACCUUUGGGAAUGAAUGAUAAAGCAUGUGAUAGAGGAGGAAGACCCACCGUUGUCCGGAAGGGUUUGCAACGGCUGGUAAUGAUUGAAAGGAACAGUCGGGGGCAUUUGUAUUGCUACGUUAGAGGUGAAAUUCUUGGAUCGUGGCAAGACAAACUACAGCGAAAGCAUUUGCCAAGAAUGUUUUCAUUAA